UUCACUCGACCGUUGUUGUCAACCGUUCUCGCGCCAUUUCGUUUCGGCAAAGUUUUACAGAAAUUUUACUUUGGUUGAGUGUUAUCUACCUCGUUGUGAAAUUUAAUUGUGUCUAAAGCCCUGAAGAAGAAUAAUGAUCUCGAGAAUUAGGAUUUUACAAGCCAAGUUCUUUACAAAAUAACUAAUGUUACUGUCGCUUAAAAUACAGAAAAUGACGCAGUCGGUAAGUAACAUGAGUUUACAGCACACCAGAGGAGAUAAAUCGCGUUUUGCUUUUCUUGUGAAAGAACACUACGAUUACACAUUCAAGGUUGCGAUAUCCUUGUUUUAUUCUGUCACGUGAAGGGGCCUCAGGUGAAUAGUUUACACAUCUAAGCAUAUAGAAAGCACACGUAUGAUUGUGCACGACACUCGCUUUAUAACUCAAGGAACACAUUGGUCUUGGUAGUUUAAGUAUCUUGAGAAGAUUUCUAAAAAAACCACUAGUGCACGACUGGUAAUGAAGCAAAUGAAGGCAAAUCAUCCCGAAGGAGAACUGGAGAGAUAGGAUCACCUGUAAAAAUGAUUGUAUCCUGAAUAAAGUAGACUUUGAGUCCCAUCUUAAUGCUACAAGCACAGAAUGGGAUAGAAGGGUGGCAACUCCUCUGAUUGUAAAAAGAUGAGGCAUGAUGGUGAUCAAGGAGAACCAUUGAGAAGCUCCUCCCCUCUAUCUUAGAGCCAUAAAACAGAAAUUUGGUGAUGCCCAAAUGAAUAAGAGGUGGUCUCAAAUAAGGCUCUACUUGAAUAAAAAAAUUGCUUGGAUUCCAAGAGAAAAGUUCAAAAUGUAGAGGGCAAUGUUGACAAGUCCGUAGACUGAAUGAACUAAGGCUUGGUUGAUAUUUGUACAAAAUUGAAACAUAUGCAAAUUUACUUGUCAAGUAGCUGUCAAAUUGACUAAAAUGCCAACUUAGAUGAGUGAUAGUGAGCUUUAAUUCUUUGAACACGUUUGCUGCAAUACAAAAUUUUGUUGUUUUUUUUUUUGUUUUCAUGCUUAAAUUACUCUAAAAAAGGAAAAACUAUUUCAGUUUGAAUCAAACGAAGAACAAUUUAAAACUGGGACAUGCCUUUAGUUAUUAUGGCUUUUUUGUAAAAGGAUAACUAUAGUAGUUCAAAUCAAACUGUCAAAUGACUCCAACAAUUAAAACAAUUGUUUUUUUAGAUUUUUAAAACACACCGAAGGGAAGAACAAGAACUCUUCUUGUACAAUUGUCAUUUAAAUCGUGCAUGUUUACCAGUUAACGUUUCU
Long non-coding RNA from Pocillopora verrucosa, 1285 nucleotides. RefSeq lists it as uncharacterized. Lineage: Eukaryota; Metazoa; Cnidaria; Anthozoa; Scleractinia; Pocilloporidae. The record is from RefSeq and is a predicted model, not a curated record.